This 637-nucleotide ribosomal RNA is filed under the name Alphaproteobacteria bacterium SmT04s. RNAcentral describes it as "bacterial SSU rRNA". It matches the Rfam family "Bacterial small subunit ribosomal RNA", at positions 83 to 755 of the family's 1533-position model. The record is from RNAcentral. Lineage: Bacteria; Pseudomonadati; Pseudomonadota; Alphaproteobacteria.
CCUUCGGGAUUAGUGGCAGACGGGUGAGUAACGCGUGGGAAGCUACCUUGUGGUAGGGGACAACAGUUGGAAACGACUGCUAAUACCCUAUGAGCCCUAUGGGGGAAAGAUUUAUCGCCAUGAGAUGUGCCCGCGUUAGAUUAGCUAGUUGGUAAGGUAAUGGCUUACCAAGGCGACGAUCUAUAGCUGGUCUGAGAGGAUGAUCAGCCACACUGGGACUGAGACACGGCCCAGACUCCUACGGGAGGCAGCAGUGGGGAAUAUUGGACAAUGGGGGCAACCCUGAUCCAGCCAUGCCGCGUGUGUGAUGACGGCCUUAGGGUUGUAAAGCACUUUCAGCAGUGAAGAUAAUGACAUUAACUGCAGAAGAAGCCCCGGCUAACUUCGUGCCAGCAGCCGCGGUAAUACGAAGGGGGCUAGCGUUGUUCGGAAUCACUGGGCGUAAAGAGUACGUAGGCGGACUGAUAAGUUAGGGGUGAAAUCCCAAGGCUCAACCUUGGAACUGCCUUUGAUACUGUCAGUCUUGAGAUCGAGAGAGGUGAGUGGAACUCCGAGUGUAGAGGUGAAAUUCGUAGAUAUUCGGAAGAACACCAGUGGCGAAGGCGGCUCACUGGCUCGAUACUGACGCUGAGGUACG